AAUACCCAUGCAGUACGAAGACAAUCAGGGAUUUGAAGAGGAAGAGCAGGAUUCAUCGGGACCAGAGGAGCGCUUGAGAAAAAGGUUUUACCAGCAGCGCAGGAACAAGACGAUGAGCCAGCCUGAAGAGGAGGUGAUACAAAAACCACACUGAACGAAACAGAACUCAGGAAAGGAGGAGGAGAAUGUGCCACAAAGGACUUACCACCUGCGCAAGAAGAGGGAAUUUGUGCCCUCGAACUGGCAGACACCAAUGGUGAUCUUUCCGGAAGAUGACGGGACAGACAAUUGGAAACCCAAACAGGAUGAAUCAGAAGACGGAGGAGGAACAAGUGGGACAAAGGGUUGCUUAGGUGGCCAUGAAAAAGAGACUUGAGUGUCCCAGCCUGCAAAGUCAGAGUGGUGUCUUUAGUUUCAAUGCUUCAACACAUACUAGAAUCUUUCAAACCAAAAUGAGGAAUAUAUCUUUGUCUUUUCUAAAAAACAGAUGGAGAGCUCAUCUGAAGAUGAUGGGACAGGUGAUUGGCAACACGCUCAGGGUUAAUCAGAAGACAAUUGAGAAAGAGGAAGACAUGCAGGAAAAUGUUAAGGUCACCAGGAGUAGCAGACACUUACUAAUAGUAAUACAGUGAAAACCGGAUAUAGUGAUCAAAGCUUUAUAUGGAUCAAAAAGCUUGGGACAGAAUUGUUCCUAUACAAAUGCUGUUUAAAUAUUUCGGUUAUAAUGAUCAAGUAAUCCGCUUACAGUGAUAAUUUCGGACAAAUCCACGUUUAAACGUAGCAGAUCACAGACGUCUGCUGUCACUAUGCAUUUCGUUGAUAGUAAUCAACUGCUUAUAGCGAUCAUUUUGGCCCAGGAAAAAACAUGACCACUGUAAGCUGUUUCCACUGUAGUAAGUCUAAUAAUGCUGGAGGCUCAUUUAUAAGGACAGAGUCCUAGGCACUGGAAAUGUAAAAAAUCUGUUGCUAGUAAAUCCCCACAUAAUAAAAUCAUAAACACUGUUUUUUAAUUCUUAGUAAAAGAAA
Hippoglossus stenolepis (Pacific halibut) is the source of this 1026-nucleotide long non-coding RNA. RefSeq lists it as uncharacterized. Lineage: Eukaryota; Metazoa; Chordata; Actinopteri; Pleuronectiformes; Pleuronectidae. The record is from RefSeq and is a predicted model, not a curated record. The transcript is spliced from 3 exons.